GUCAAAGUAUAUUCUAUUCGAGAAAAAUCAUUAUUUGUUUAAGAAUUCAGAUAAUACUCUCUCAUCAAACAUUUUUUAUCAUGUUGGCUAAACUGCACUCUGUCAUUCAUUUCAACUCAACUUCAAGUUUUGGAGGUUACAUUCCAGUCCAGAUUACAUUUUCUUUUUUCGCCACGAAUAGUAAAUAGAAUAAUUAAUACCUGUUUGUCAACGAUGAUAAGGCAUUUAUGAUAAGUAGAAUAACAAUUAACUUGUUUAGUUUAGUUCCGUAUCAGUCAUGGACGAGAAAGGUAAUGUAAAAAGUAUCAAACUACCUGAAACUGUAGAAGCUUUCAGCAAUUUGAAGAAUGCAAAGAGAUUUGCAAUUGAUAUUGGUGGACUCUGACUAAAAUCGCAUACUACUCUACAGUAUCAUAUCGCCGCAUCAACUAUGAGGCGGAUCAGGAUAAUAGCGACAAUCAGAGGAACAAACAAAAUAUGAAAUCCGGAAGGAGCUCGGCUCCAUUUCAUAAAAUUUGAAACAAAGUACAUAGAAAACUGCUUGGAUUUCAUUUGUGAAAAUCUUGUGGCAACCAGAGAGCAGAUGGCUGGGAAAACUAUCAAAGCUACUGGGGUGGUGCCUACAGAUAUGCUGAUCUACUGCAGGAAAAAUUGGGAUUGUCUGUUGACAAGGAAGAAGAGAUGGACUGUUUGAUAAAGGCUGCAAUUUUCUGUUGAAAAACAUAAGCGAUGAAGCGUUUGUAUUCAACAGACAUGGAAAUCCCGAAUAUGACUUCCAAAUGGCAGAUCC
Long non-coding RNA from Nilaparvata lugens (brown planthopper), 790 nucleotides. RefSeq lists it as uncharacterized. The record is from RefSeq and is a predicted model, not a curated record. Lineage: Eukaryota; Metazoa; Arthropoda; Insecta; Hemiptera; Delphacidae. The transcript is spliced from 4 exons.